This 497-nucleotide ribosomal RNA is filed under the name uncultured bacterium. RNAcentral describes it as "partial 16S ribosomal RNA". It matches the Rfam family "Bacterial small subunit ribosomal RNA", at positions 28 to 507 of the family's 1533-position model. The record is from RNAcentral.
GAUGAGCGCUGGCGGCGUGCCUAAUACAUGCAAGUCGAGCGAACGGACGAGAAGCUUGCUUCUCUGAUGUUAGCGGCGGACGGGUGAGUAACACGUGGAUAACCUACCUAUAAGACUGGGAUAACUUCGGGAAACCGUAGCUAAUACCGGAUAAUAUUUUGAACCGCAUGGUUCAAAAGUGAAAGACGGUCUUGCUGUCACUUAUAGAUGGAUCCGCGCUGCAUUAGCUAGUUGGUAAGGUAACGGCUUACCAAGGCAACGAUGCAUAGCCGACCUGAGAGGGUGAUCGGCCACACUGGAACUGAGACACGGUCCAGACUCCUACGAGAGGCAGCAGUAGGGAAUCUUCCGCAAUGGGCGAAAGCCUGACGGAGCAACGCCGCGUGAGUGAUGAAGGUCUUCGGAUCGUAAAACUCUGUUAUUAGGGAAGAACAUAUGUGUAAGUAACUGUGCACAUCUUGACGGUACCUAAUCAGAAAGCCACGGCUAACUACGUG